Molecule: ribosomal RNA, 494 nt
Filed under: uncultured bacterium
Lineage: Bacteria
Description: partial 16S ribosomal RNA
Rfam family: Bacterial small subunit ribosomal RNA
Source: RNAcentral
GACGAACGCUGGCGGCGUGCUUAACACAUGCCAGUCGAACGGAAAGGCCUGCUUUCCCUUGUGGAUUGCGGGUACUCGAGUGGCGAACGGGUGAGUAACACGUGAGUGAUCUGCCCCCAACUUGGGUAUAAGCCUGGGAAACUGGGUCUAAUUCCCGAUAGGACUGCAGGGUGGUGCCUGUGGUGGAAAACGAUUUUCUAGUGGUUGGGGAUGAGCUCGCGGCCUAUCAGCUUGUUGGUGGGGUAAUGGCCUACCAAGGCGGCGACGGGUAGCCGGCCUGAGAGGGUGGACGGCCACAUUGGGACUGAGAUACGGCCCAGACUCCUACGGGAGGCAGCAGUGGGGAAUAUGGCACAAUGGGCGGAAGCCUGAUGCAGCGACGCCGCGUGGGGGAUGACGGCCUUCGGGUUGUAAACUCCUUUCGACCGCGAGGAAGCCACCUGGUUGGAAGGGUGGUGACGGUAGUGGUAGAAGAAGCACCGGCUAACUACGUG